This is a long non-coding RNA of Eurytemora carolleeae, 410 nucleotides long. RefSeq lists it as uncharacterized. The record is from RefSeq and is a predicted model, not a curated record. The transcript is spliced from 5 exons. NCBI's taxonomy places the organism in Eukaryota, Metazoa, Arthropoda, Copepoda, Calanoida, Temoridae.
ACACAUAUAAUUAAUAUUCAGUCUAAACUUAAACAUAGGUUUUAAGGGAUUUUCAAAGAGUAUUAACCUUCCAUUUACAGUUUACAUUCUGAUUCACAACGGAUCCCUGUACAGUUUGUCUGAAUAAGGGUUUAGGCUGGCUGGCUCCUGGUACAACACUACGGGAGAUUGCUGCAAAUAAGAAUAGUGUACUGAAUCCACCAGUUUUAAGAAUAAGGUUCAAGAUCCCUGGUUGGCGCAGUUCAGGAGGAACGAAAUGUUUGCGGCACAUAGAUCCAGUUGCUUUCAGAUAUUUCUAUGAUCAAGUUCGGACUGAUUUUGACAAGGGUAAAGUUUGCAGCAGAAAACAUAGUGAACGAAGUGAGAGGUGGUGGGCUGGACUUUUACAAACUGGAGGCAGAGACAGGUAA